GCAAUAUGUUAACUUUAUAAAGACAACAGAGCGGAUAAAAAGUAAAUAUAUAAACACACAGAGGGAUUAAUAAAUAACGGACCAUCUAUAAUGUAGUUUGUUUCAAAUGAAGCUGGGAGCCUCUGCAGCUGUGGCUUGAAAAAUGAAGAAAUGGACCACCCAGAUUACAUACCCUCACUCUUCCCUGCCAGAAAGACACAGUCUGCAGCUGCAAAACUGCAAAGGCUGGAGCGCAGAAGGGAGCGUGAAUGUCACCAGGCUGUCCUCAGUGACGUUCCCACAGCCCCAGUACCAGAAACGACACCACCAGACGCCCCAGUACCAGCAACCACAGCACCAGAGGCUCCAUGCCUUCCUCAGAGUGUGGAGAAUGAGAUUUUCAACUUAAGGAGAGAGAGGGAUGAGACCAGGAAGGAGCGAGAUGAAGCUGUGCAACAACUGGAAAAAAUAAACUUUUCUGCAAACAGUGUGAGAGAAAAUAACAUCAAAUGCAAGCAGAUGACUGGGCUGACAUGGACACUGUUUGACACCUUGCACCAGUACCUGGUGCAGUUUGUAAAGCCACGAGAGACAUCCAAACAUUCGACACAAGAUGAGCUCUUCAUAACAUUGGUGAAACUGCGGCAGAACUCUUCAAUACUUGACUUGGCACACAGCACUUUUCUUGAUGUGUUCUCCUGGUGGCUCAAUCUGCUGUAUGCAAAAAUUUAAUUUCUGAUUGCUUGGCCUGACAGAGAACACAGUACCAGCCGAAGUUCUUUGGCAAUACCCCAGACUGACGUCUAUCAUCGACUGCUUUGAGAUCAGAAUCUAACAUUCAAAGAAGCUGAAAACUAGAGCAAUGACCUACUCUAAGUACAAAAACUGGACCACAGUCAAGUACUUCAUUGCAUGUCAUCCAUCUGGUGCCAUCACAUAUGUCUCCAAAGGCUGGGGUGGGAGAGCAUCAGAUGUUCACAUUGUGAGGAGCUCUGAUUUCCUGUCUCAGAGAUACCUACACGCUGGAGAUCAGAUACUUGCUGACCGAGGCUUCACCUUGAGAGAGGACUUUGCUGUUCUGGGUGUACAGCUGAUUACACCAUCAUUCACACGGGGAAGAAAACAGCUGUCAGCAGAGGAUGUGGCAAAUUUUCAUGUGACCUCAAACAUUAGAAUUCACAUAGAGAGAGUGAUUGGUGCUCUGAAGAGCCGGUUCCAUAUUUUGGAUGGUCCUAUUCCUCUGCGCCUGGAGAAGAGAUUGAGGGAUGAGAGACAGAAGAGAGAAGAGGC
Molecule: long non-coding RNA, 1269 nt
Organism: Epinephelus fuscoguttatus (brown-marbled grouper)
Lineage: Eukaryota; Metazoa; Chordata; Actinopteri; Perciformes; Serranidae
Exons: 5
Source: RefSeq, a predicted model, not a curated record